RNAcentral lists this ribosomal RNA (1461 nucleotides) under uncultured bacterium. RNAcentral describes it as "bacterial SSU rRNA". It matches the Rfam family "Bacterial small subunit ribosomal RNA". The record is from RNAcentral.
CGCCCUUGAGUUUGAUCAUGGCUCAGGACGAACGCUGGCGGCGUGCUUAACACAUGCAAGUCGAACGGAAAGGCCCUGCUUUUGUGGGGUGCUCGAGUGGCGAACGGGUGAGUAACACGUGAGUAACCUGCCCUUGACUUUGGGAUAACUUCAGGAAACUGGGGCUAAUACCGGAUAGGAGCUCCUGCUGCAUGGUGGGGGUUGGAAAGUUUCGGCGGUUGGGGAUGGACUCGCGGCUUAUCAGCUUGUUGGUGGGGUAGUGGCUUACCAAGGCUUUGACGGGUAGCCGGCCUGAGAGGGUGACCGGCCACAUUGGGACUGAGAUACGGCCCAGACUCCUACGGGAGGCAGCAGUGGGGAAUAUUGCACAAUGGGCGGAAGCCUGAUGCAGCAACGCCGCGUGCGGGAUGACGGCCUUCGGGUUGUAAACCGCUUUCGCCUGUGACGAAGCGUGAGUGACGGUAAUGGGUAAAGAAGCACCGGCUAACUACGUGCCAGCAGCCGCGGUGAUACGUAGGGUGCGAGCGUUGUCCGGAUUUAUUGGGCGUAAAGGGCUCGUAGGUGGUUGAUCGCGUCGGAAGUGUAAUCUUGGGGCUUAACCCUGAGCGUGCUUUCGAUACGGGUUGACUUGAGGAAGGUAGGGGAGAAUGGAAUUCCUGGUGGAGCGGUGGAAUGCGCAGAUAUCAGGAGGAACACCAGUGGCGAAGGCGGUUCUCUGGGCCUUUCCUGACGCUGAGGAGCGAAAGCGUGGGGAGCGAACNGGCUUAGAUACCCUGGUAGUCCNCGCUGUAAACGGUGGGUACUAGGUGUGGGGUCCNUUCCACGGGUUCCGUGCCGUAGCUAACGCUUUAAGUACCCCGCCUGGGGAGUACGGCCGCAAGGCUAAAACUCAAAGGAAUUGACGGGGCCCCGCACAAGCGGCGGAGCAUGUGGUUUAAUUCGACGCAACGCGAAGAACCUUACCUAGACUUGACAUCUUCUGCAUUACCCUUAAUCGGGGAAGUUCCUUCGGGGACAGAAUGACAGGUGGUGCAUGGUUGUCGUCAGCUCGUGUCGUGAGAUGUUGGGUUAAGUCCCGCAACGAGCGCAACCCUUAUUGUUAGUUGCUACCAUUUAGUUGAGCACUCUAGCGAGACUGCCCGGGUUAACCGGGAGGAAGGUGGGGAUGACGUCAAAUCAUCAUGCCCCUUAUGUCUAGGGCUACACACGUGCUACAAUGGCCGGUACAGAAAGACGCGAUACCGCGAGGUGGAGCAAAACUUUAAAACCGGUCUCAGUUCGGAUUGUAGGCUGAAACUCGCCUACAUGAAGCUGGAGUUACUAGUAAUCGCGAAUCAGCAUGUCGCGGUGAAUACGUUCCCGGGCCUUGUACACACCGCCCGUCACACCAUGAGAGUUGGCAAUACCCAAAGUUCGUGAGCUAACCGCAAGGAGGCAGCGACCUAAGGUAGGGUCAGCGAU